Molecule: RNA transcript, 1432 nt
Organism: Plodia interpunctella (Indianmeal moth)
Lineage: Eukaryota; Metazoa; Arthropoda; Insecta; Lepidoptera; Pyralidae
Gene name: thrombin inhibitor hemalin-like
Exons: 6
Source: RefSeq, a predicted model, not a curated record
AUGUAUAGAGAAAGUUUAUUUGUUAUUAUAUUUUUCUAUACAAAAACAGUUGUUGGUCGAAUGAUAGGAGAGCACAAGGAGGAAACAACGCAAAAACCAAUGUUAAUUACUGGUUUGACUUUCGAUGUGUGGUGCAAGUUCCAAACGAAUACCUACGAUUGCGGUGAGCACGGGAGACACGCCUACAGGUUUUACUAUGACACAUUAAAUGAAGGAUGUAAAGCCACCCAUAUAGGUGACUGUGAUAAUAAUCUUAAUAAUUUUUACGACUUGAGAGAGUGCAAUGAUAUUUGCCGAGAACCCGGAAAGCGUGUUGUACCUGAAGUGUUGACACCAAAUGUAUAUUGUAGAAUGCAACCAGACUUCGGGCUUUGUAGCAAUUAUCACCCCAUGUGGUAUUUCGACAUCUCCACGAGAACAUGUAAAGGAUUCUCGUAUAGCGGGUGCGGUGGGAACCAAAAUAAAUUUGGAAACAUUCAAGACUGUACUAUGACUUGUUUACCGAAUAUCGAAUAUAGAGAUUGGUAAAAGUCAGGUUUUAUUUUUAAUCUAUCCAGUUUUUGACCGAUCGGCCGAAAUGACCAAGGUUUUUAAACAGGGCGAAAAUCGAAAAUACAUUUUUAUGGUCAGUUUUGCUUCAUAAUAAGGGAAGGGAGGGCAAAAUGGAAGUAUUGGACGAAAUGGACACUCCCCUUAUACCCCAACCACGCGAUGACGAUGAGAUAUGUCACAGGCGCAGCAUUGCCCAGCGAUACACGGCGAGUUUACCACUGAAGUUCAGUCCUGAAGAGUGAAUAUUCGUUGUCUAUUAGACUGUUAAAUGUUACAAAAGCAUUUAUAAGUGAACUUGUUUGAAUAUGGUAAGAAAUAUUCAGUUAAUUUAUAUACAAGGUAUUUUCUUCUUGAUAUCGAGCAUGCAUAAAUACAUAAAUGUAUUUAUACAAUUGUUAAUUACAAUUAUUGGUUGUUGCAAUAUGUUAGAACUAUAGGUAACUACUUAGUCAGCGCACAGUAAAUUUGAAAAUUCGAAGUUUAGGGAUAAACAGAAAAAUAACAUACAUACCAUAAUAUGGUGGAAGGUAUUUUUAAGUUGUAUGAAUGACUGAUUUUGCUAAGUUACAAUUACUUCUUAAGUUUUUUUAGAAUGCCAACUAAUGUGAUAAAGAGUCAUGCGUGAGGGGGUAACUUCGAAGAUGUGAGAUUAGGAACAAUUUCUUAUUCCGUAAAAAUAAAAAUAAUUAUGAAGAUAAAAGGAGAGAACCGUAAGAAGAGAACUAUAUCUUAACUUAUUAUAUUCCAUUUUGCCCACAUAUGCAUUCAAUUUUACGUACAGGUGAGCAAAAUACUUAUUUGCUUAUUAUUGUGAUUAGACAUUUAGUUUAAUUUAUUAUAUUAUCUUUAAAGACUGAUCAAAAUAAAAUAUUAAGACAAA